GACUGAGGGGGGCUGCUCCUAGUACGAGAGGACCGGAGUGGACGCAUCACUGGUGUUCGGGUUGUCAUGCCAAUGGCACUGCCCGGUAGCUAAAUGCGGAAAAGAUAAGUGCUGAAAGCAUCUAAGCACGAAACUUGCCCCGAGAUGAGUCUUCCCUGAGACUUUGAGUCUCCUGAAGGAACGUUAAAGACGAUGACGUUGAUAGGCCGGGUGUGUAAGCGCAGCGAUGCGUUGAGCUAACCGGUACUAAUGAACCGUGAGGCUUAACCUU
This 271-nucleotide ribosomal RNA is filed under the name Salmonella enterica. Its description in RNAcentral is "partial 23S ribosomal RNA". It matches the Rfam family "Bacterial large subunit ribosomal RNA", at positions 2660 to 2925 of the family's 2925-position model. RNAcentral also lists the same sequence under 2 other names. The record is from RNAcentral. Lineage: Bacteria; Pseudomonadati; Pseudomonadota; Gammaproteobacteria; Enterobacterales; Enterobacteriaceae.